RNAcentral lists this ribosomal RNA (432 nucleotides) under uncultured bacterium. RNAcentral's name for it is "bacterial SSU rRNA". It matches the Rfam family "Archaeal small subunit ribosomal RNA", at positions 906 to 1339 of the family's 1478-position model. The record is from RNAcentral.
UUGGAUUCACGCCGGAAUCUUACCGGGACCGACAGCAAUAUGAAGGCCAGGCUGAAGACUUUGCCGGAUUAGCUGAGAGGUGGUGCAUGGCCGUCGUCAGUUCGUACUGUGAAGCAUCCUGUUAAGUCAGGCAACGAGCGAGACCCACGCCCACAGUUGCCAGCGUACUCUCUGGAGUGACGGGUACACUGUGGGGACCGCCGCUGCUAAAGCGGAGGAAGGAAUGGGCAACGGUAGGUCAGUAUGCCCCGAAUAUCCCGGGCUACACGCGAGCUACAAUGGUUGGUACAAUGGGUAUCUACCCCGAAAGGGGACGGGAAUCUCCUAAAACCAAUCUUAGUUCGGAUUGAGGGCUGCAACUCGCCCUCAUGAAGCUGGAAUCCGUAGUAAUCGCGUUUCAACAGAACGCGGUGAAUACGUCCCUGCUCCUUG